This 469-nucleotide ribosomal RNA is filed under the name Latilactobacillus sakei. Its description in RNAcentral is "bacterial SSU rRNA". It matches the Rfam family "Bacterial small subunit ribosomal RNA", at positions 91 to 546 of the family's 1533-position model. The record is from RNAcentral. Lineage: Bacteria; Bacillati; Bacillota; Bacilli; Lactobacillales; Lactobacillaceae.
GUGAGUGGCGGACGGGUGAGUAACACGUGGGUAACCUGCCCUAAAGUGGGGGAUAACAUUUGGAAACACAUGCUAAUACCGCAUAAAACCUAACACCGCAUGGUGUAGGGUUGAAAGAUGGUUUCGGCUAUCACUUUAGGAUGGACCCGCGGUGCAUUAGUUAGUUGGUGAGGUAAAGGCUCACCAAGACCGUGAUGCAUAGCCGACCUGAGAGGGUAAUCGGCCACACUGGGACUGAGACACGGCCCAGACUCCUACGGGAGGCAGCAGUAGGGAAUCUUCCACAAUGGACGAAAGUCUGAUGGAGCAACGCCGCGUGAGUGAAGAAGGUUUUCGGAUCGUAAAACUCUGUUGUUGGAGAAGAAUGUAUCUGAUAGUAACUGAUCAGGUAGUGACGGUAUCCAACCAGAAAGCCACGGCUAACUACGUGCCAGCAGCCGCGGUAAUACGUAGGUGGCAAGCGUUGUCC